UACGGAGGGUGCGAGCGUUAAUCGGAAUUACUGGGCGUAAAGCGCACGCAGGCGGCUGGGUAAGUCGGAUGUGAAAGCCCUGGGCUUAACCUGGGAACUGCAUUCGAUACUGCCUGGCUAGAGUAUGGGAGAGGGAAGCGGAAUUUCCGGUGUAGCGGUGAAAUGCGUAGAUAUCGGAAGGAACACCAAUGGCGAAGGCAGCUUCCUGGCCCAAUACUGACGCUCAGGUGCGAAAGCGUGGGGAUCAAACAGG
Molecule: ribosomal RNA, 253 nt
Filed under: uncultured bacterium
Lineage: Bacteria
Description: partial 16S ribosomal RNA
Rfam family: Bacterial small subunit ribosomal RNA
Source: RNAcentral